RNAcentral lists this long non-coding RNA (13138 nucleotides) under Triticum aestivum (bread wheat). RNAcentral describes it as "long non-coding RNA (TAES_LNC009774)". Lineage: Eukaryota; Viridiplantae; Streptophyta; Magnoliopsida; Poales; Poaceae. The record is from RNAcentral.
UGACCUGCGCCCUCUGCUCCAAUCUCCAUCGACUCUGACUCUGCUAGCUGCUGCUGCUGUUCUGGUGCUGUGGUUUCGUUUCUGAAUUCAGAGUGCGUGCGUUGUUGUUCCGUCGGUCUGUGUAGUUAGUGGAUGGCGAUGGAUCUGAAUGCAGUUAGUUCGUCAGAGUGCGUGUGUUGUCUGUGGAAGGAGAUAAAUAUGAAUGCAAUGGGAUUGUUGGUUUCUUCUAUUUGAAUCUGGUCACCACCAACUUGUUAUGCCACUAAAAAAUUUCUCAGCAGAGGAAGUUAGUUGCGGUAAUUUUCGUUUGGAUUUUCAUACCAUGCGCGCACAGAGAUCGAAAUAGGUAGGGGACUCUGUUUCUAUUUCGUUGUGCUGUCUGUUCCCAAACAUAGCUCCUCUGCAGCCGUAUGUCAACGAGGUGGAAGGGGAUGGCGGUCCAACUGACUCCAUCUGAAGAGGUGCUGCUGUUUAGAUCCUACUCCCUACAUGCCAGCUGGAGUAGCUGAAGUUUAUCUCUGAUGCAUCAUGAUCCUACUCCCUACUCUUGGCGUUGGAAUGCUGUACUUGGCGCCUGAUCAUGGAACCAGAUCCUCUAACAUUGCCAAGGAAAGUCAUCGUGCUACCGUGUUUGCCUAGUGUAAAAUAAAGAAAAAAAGUUAGGGACUGUUAUUAGGUAUAGUUAGUAGGUUGUUUACUCUUGGUAUUUACUGUAGAUAUAAAUAAUUUAAUUUUAAUUUUAUUUCACCAUCAAUUUGUUUGUACUCCCUCCAUUUCACAAUGUAGUGCUUCCUUUAUUCUUGUGCUUCAACUUUGACCGUAAAUUUAACUAACAAGACCGAUUGCGGCGGGAGCAAAAAUUAUAUCAGUGAAUUCGUAUUCGAAAGAAGUUUUCAAUUAUAUAAUUUUUUCUCCUGCCGUAGUUGGUUUCGUUGGUUAAAUUUAUGGUCAAAGUUAGAUCUCGGAAAGCGCGGGCGCACUAUAUUUUGGAAUGGAGGAAGUAUGUAAUUAAUAUAAAUGUACACAAUAGAUCAUCAAUUUGCAAAUUAAUUUAAAUCAUUUUAGCCAUAAUCAUAUGAAUAUAAAGAAGAAAAGUUAGCGCAUUGUACCUUCUCUAACUUUCCUUCUCAAUGUUAGAGGAUCCGGUUCCCCUGAUCAUGGGCUUCAUGAUGAAAAGGAAGCCGGAAGUGAUCUUUUCUGUAAUAAUAGUUGGUUACCCAGAAACGUUCUCUGAAUUUAUGUGUUAUUUUUGUAAUCAGAUACACUGUACUCCCUCCGUUCCUAAAUAAGUAGAUGAUGUUUGGUAGUUUAAUUUGAACUACCAAAACGUCAUGUAUUUAGGAGCGGACGAAGUAUGUUCUAAAAUUUGGUGAUGUCAAUUUUUUUAGUUCAGUUAAAUCAAAUGGUUAUAGAGUUGCACAUUGCUCAAUAUAAAAGCUCGCUAACUUGUAGUGACGUGAGAGAGAGAAAAAAAAAUCUUACAAUCAUCUUAUGCUACUACUUUGUCAGCUGCUAUUUUGCUUCCCCUAAAAAAAGUUGUUAUUUUGCUACAGGGACAUAAUUUUUAUCCUCUCUGAUGAUGUGUGCCCAAGGCCUCCAUGAGCUGGCUAACAUUUGAAUUUCAACCCUUUCAAAAGUUCUCUUAACAAAUGGACCUUUUCACUUCCUCACAAAAAAAAGACACAGAUUUUGAUCCAGUCAAGGAUAGGCCGAAUUAAAGUGAAACUAACAUUGUUUUCGAUAUGGUUCUACUACCUCUUAAGAAAUAAAGCAUCUCAAUUAUUCGUCUGAAAGACGGGGUGAAUUAUCACAUAGAGUUGGAACACGUCUCUUUACUGAUUGAUAGUAAGGUGUGGAAACCUUAAUGCUCGUCUAAUUAGGAUGGAAAUAUGAUAGUGCACAACAAGAUUGCUCAUACGAGGCAAAUUCUGGAAUUGUGUAUUGGAGUCAUUCAUUUCAAUUAUCCGCAGCUCAUAAUAAAGAUGACCUCUUUCUUACAAGCUGCGACAUUUGCUCGGGGCGAGCAAACCUUUUAUCUUGGGGGAGUUGAUUAGUCCAAUUUAUGUGAUAAUUUUGAUAGUUAUGUUGUGCCUACAUGUUAGGCUUUGAGGAGUUUUACCGCGUUCGUGCACUAAAUUUUCUCGGUAUUCCGCAGUGACGUCCUUUGGAGUAAAUAAAGUUUUAUGAAAGGAAUCCUAGAUAAUAGUGAACUGACCUGGACAAACAUAACCAAGGGGACAAGGGCUAGUUGCCAUGCAGCAAGAAGGUCAAGACAUAGCUGCAAAGCAAUAUGUUGCUUCAAUAAAUAUGUUGUAUAAUGAUAGAUUUACUAAGAAUUUGUUCAAUAAAUAUAUUGUUUUAACGAGUUGAAAGCUGUCGUUUUAGUAGUACUUGGAGCCCCCACCCGUAAUUAUCCCAUAAAACUCCAUCACUCAGAAAUAUGACGGGGAAAAGAAACUGAAAACAUUGAACAACAAAGAGGACAGUCGAUGCUAACCGACGUAAAACACAAUAGCUGCAGAGCAUAGGAUAAGAUGACCGACGGAGGAGAGGAGGUGGAGAAACAACAUCCGGACAUGAAGCCAGGACCGACACGAGGGGCGGCGCCGGGUGAAACAAGACAGACGGUGAUGGUGCGAGGGGGGAGGGGAGGAAGACGGAUCGGAGGAACAAAAGAAAAGAUACGUUAUAAAACCUGAAAUGUUUAAGGACUAAAGUGUAAAAGGAAAAAUAAUAAACAGAGAAAAUUUGGUUUAGGCAAAUAAAUAGAGAAAGUUUUUUUUGAGACAAAUAAACAGAGAAAGUGAAAACUUUUUUUUUGAAGCUAAGAAACUGAAAACUGGAAACAGGAAAACACGCGGCCGCUCUAUUUGGCUCUGUUCGGAAAAAAAAAGUGAAAGUGAAAAAUGCAAUUUCUAAUAUUUUAGGAAAAAAAAACAGAAAGCAAAGUCCAAGAAUAUUAGUAUAUGCUUGGCCCGCUUGUAUGCCGAGGCUUCAGCCCAGUCCAACCAACAGCGCCAACCCCCCACCACACCCGUUCCGCCGUCGCUCCGCCUCGUUUUCAAGCUGCCGCCGGAGAAGGACGCAUGCGAAGCACCGCCGCCGACCGCAUCGCCGUCGCCGUCGUCUCCAACGCACGCCUUCUCUACAAGGCAUGCUAGCUUUCCCCUUGUUUGUUUCUUGAUCCCCACUUGAUUUUUUUUCCAUUAGAAUUUGUUGCUUGCGUCAACGUUUCAUCGUCCUGAUCGAUUGAUACGCUGGCUGAACUUUGUUAUUAUUAGAGAUAGAGCCGCAGCUGUUCUCUACUUUGUAGUACAGUCCAUACGUCUUGCCACCAUUAAUUGCUGCGAGAAAGAGUUCCAGAUCGCGUUGCCACUUUGAUAGGGCCGGGCUAGAUUAGAUAUUUAGACUCCCACUUGAUUUAUUUUCUGUAUGUAAGAAAGAAUUUUGAACAUACUGCUAUGGGCCCUAGAUAUUGGAUCGAUGGUAAAUUGGGAAUCAUGGGAUCCAUUGAUCCUCUAUGACUAAGACUACCUCUAUCAGAUACAGAUAGAACUGUAUAGCUGUUCUCUUUGGUCUAUAUAUACAGAUGGAUGUGUUUUCCAUUGCCUUCAAGUAAUCAAUGGUAGCUUAGGGACAUGACAGACUGAGGCAAUGUUAUAAAUAUUUACCCCAUUUGAUUUUCGAUGUAAUUGUCAGCAGCAUAUUGUUUUUCAUGUCAGAGCGCAUAUAUGUUAUCGCUUCUCUACCUGUUGCCUUUUCAAAUGUUCACGUCAUUCUUCUAAUGUUUUUUCUUUUGAUUCAAAAUUUCUUUCAGAGAAGCUGCAGUCGCGGGUAACUCCAAGGUCUGCUGUGUUUGGGUCUGUCCCGUCUGAGGCUCUCAGCUAUGUCCACUCUUCAAGGUUGGCCAGACCUCCCGGAUGACCUGCUUCAUUCCAUUGUUCCUCGAUUGGGAUCCUUCCUUGACCUUCUUGCUUUUGCUGCCGCCUGCUCCUCUUGGCGUGCUGCCUUCUCCUCCUAUCCAUCCAAACACACACUCUUGCAAAUGUUGCCACCUCUCCUCCUCCAACCUGAUGUUCAUGAGUGCCCUCCUCGUCCUCGCCCAUUUAGCAACAGCCUCGUGCCUACACAUUCAUGCCAUGUCACUGAUUUAGCCAACCAAGGUACCUACAUGCGUUGUCAGAUUCCCCGGUUUUCUCCUUUUGGUGAGAGCAAAUCCCCACAAAGUCCUCUAGAUAGUUCUUAUUUUGGGGGUGUUUCCUAUGGUCAUCUCAUCUUGUUUAACCAAAAUCAAUCAUGUCUUGUUAUUGAUGUCUUUACUGGUGUUAGUUUCUCAACUCCGAAACUACCGGUCGAUGAAAACACUUUCCUGGACCAUGCUUCCCUCACGGCUCCUCUGACGUCACCCAACUCAUAUCUCAUGGUCACCAAAGGACGCCACUAUUUCUUUUGGCGUGUUGGUAGUAAAUCUUGGUUGAGACGUUCUCUUCACAAUGGAACGAUCGAGAAGGUCAUGGUUUUCAAAGGACAAAUAUUUGGCAUGGAUAAUGACUGCAGGCUCAUUAUCAUGAACUUGGUACCACGGAUCCGAAUACAGAAAAUAACAGUUGAUCCUGGUGAAAGCAUGCACAACAAAUGGCAUCUUCCCCACCCAUGGCUUGUUGCGUGCGGCGAUAUGCUUCUCCUGGUUGGUUGUCAUCGAUCUUUUCCAUCAACAGGGGAUACGUUUGAAGCUUUCCGCCUCGACCUAACGAGUGAACCUGCAAAGUGGAUGAAGGUGGAAAAGCUAGAAAAUUGGGCAAUCUUCAUCAGCACAGACGACAGAAGCCAGCCAUUGUGUUGCAUGAACCCAGAGAGAUGGGGAGGGAGGAGCAAUUCUAUAUACUUCUAUUUCCAUGAUUCUAAUAAUUGGAUCAAUUUUGAGCUGGACAAGCCACUGCAGGGAAAUGCCUCUACUCCAACAAUCUUUAUCUGCAGAGGCCGUGCCAGUAUGAUGCAACCUACAUGGGUUGUGCCUAGUAUGUUCUAUUCGUGACCUGCUUGAUGCAUGGUCUAUUCAUGACCUGCUUGAUGCAUGGUUAUUACUGCUCGCCGUGGUAGCUUCCCCUAUAAGAUGCCUUGACUUUUAUAUAGGUCUAGCCCAAAGAAAUUUUGAACCUUUGAUAUAGUUGUAGUAUAACCAUGUCAGAUGUAAUUGGAAUAUGGAGUUGUCGGAGCCAAUUUUUAGCCUCUUAGCUCAGCAUGCAUGAAAAUGUUGUUUCAAUUUAUUUUAAGCAAGCUCUCAGCUUGUUCCGAAAAUUUGCUCUUCGAGUAGAGAACAGAACAGUGGCUCAUUUGCAGUUAUGUAGGAGAUGGUCACGGUAGCCGGAGCACUGAGGAUUUUGCAGUUAGUUCAUCCUUGAGGGCUUACUCAAGCUUAUGCGCAUAUAAGACAUGUGUUUAGACCUUAUAAAAGAUGUGUUUAUGCUAGCAUAAGGGCUUAGGGGAUUUCUAACCGAUCCUCAAUAACCAGUUAGAGGAGUAAAAACCCGGUUUUACUUCUCUAACCGGCACCUAGCCGAUCCCCAAUCAACGCUAGUGGAGGAUAAAUUAUCCUCAGCCGCGCCACGCCUCCCUAUAUUUACUCCAUUAUACGGUGGUCGAGUAAAAAAAAUCUCACUUCGUCUCCUCUUCCUCUCCGCUUCCUCCGCUUCUUCUUCUCCCUAUAUUUACUCCAUCAUACGGUGGUCAAGUAAAAAAUGUCCUUACUCAAGCUUAUGCGCUUUCUCACCUCUCAGUUAGCCUUGCUGUUCACUACUCUAUUUUUUUUGCGGGUGCACUACUCAUUCUUUUGCUGUAACGGGCAGGUUUGAACUGCAGUUUUGAGGCAUGUUGGGAGUGGGGCUUUGUGAAUUUUGUGCGCGAGCAAGGGGUUCUUCUUCAGGUGCAUGGUUUCGUUUCAGGUUCGCGUGUCAAACUGAUGACGGAACCAUGCAUAUCGUGUUUUAUGCAAUAUAUAAACUUGAAUAAUAUCAUGCGAAAAGUCUGCCCCAGCAGUCGAUGGUUGUGUUUCCUCGGUUUUGCCACGGAAGCUGGAAUGGGUAGUGUAAUUUUUGAAACUGACGCCGCCGAUCUGAAAGAAGCGGUAAUGACCAUGAUCUUUCAGCGAAGAGGCACUAAUUUCGCCUGCAAAGUUGUAUAUGUGUUCUAAGUGACUAGAGCAUCUCUAGCAGAUCUUGUAAAUCGGGUCAUUUGAAAUAAUAACAACCAAUAUAGCGGACGAGUGCGUUUUUUUUGCCUAAAACAUAUCCAGCAAAAUCAUCCGUCCCCUAUUUUUUUUUGGAAUCCCGCAUAGUUUGGGCCAUUUCCUCUAUAUAUGCGGAAAUCAGACCUGUUUUUGUGGAUUCCUGUAUCGCACAGAAGCAGUUGGCGGGAGUGAAACUUCCGCCCUAGCUUGGCCGGCUGCGUCCACUGCAGGAGCCCGUCCUGGCCGUUGCGUCCCCGUGCUCAAGGUCCGCUGUGCCCCGAGCUCUGUCGUAGGAGCCCGUCCUGGCCGCCACGCUCCUGAGCUCCACCGCACCAACCCGUCCCAGACGCCGCGUCCCCGUGCUCGAGGUCCACCGCGCAAGCCCAUUCCGGCCUCCACGUCCCCGAGCUUCGCCGCAGGAGCCCGUCCGGGCCGCCGCGCCCCCAAGCUCCGCUGUAGGACCCCCUCCCGGCCGCCGCGCCCCCGAGCUCCCCUGCGGGAGCCCGUCCUGGCCGCCGCGUCCCAGUGCUCGAGGUCUGCCACGCCCUUGAGCUCUGCCACGUCCCCGUGCUCGAGGUCCACCACGCCCUUGAGCUCCGCCGCGUCCCUGAUCAGCGUGCUUGCAUCGAAUGGCUUGCUCACAGUGAUAAAAACACCUAUUUUCUCCAUCCAAGGGCGAGCCAGCGCUGCAGGAAAAAUCAAAUUAAGUUUCUCCAAAGACCGGAUGUCAGUGUAACUGAGGACAACACGGAGAUGGAAGAGAUGGUCACGAUUUUUUACUGCACACUCUACACCUCUGGAGGUGUGACUGAUAUUGAUCAAGUUCUAAAUACAGUUCCAGGGAAGGUUACUCCGGCGAUGAAUGAUAUUCUUAAUGCAAAGUACACUCAGGAGGAGAUUAAGGUAGCCAUGUUCCAGAUGUUCCCAACAGAAGCACCAGGUCCAGAUAGGUUCUCAGCCACUUCUUUCAGCGUCACUGGGAUGUUUGUGGGACUGUUGUCAGAACAGUGAUACUUCGAAUUAUUAAUGGAACUGAGCUAGUGAAGAGCAUUAAUGAGACUAUUUUAGUGCUAAUACCAAAGGUAAAGAACCCCACAUUAUUGUCUCAGAUCAGGCCAAUUUCUCUAUGUAAUGUUUUAUGCAAGAUUGUUUCCAAAGUCAUAUCAAACAGAUUGAAGCAAGUUCUACUUGACAUCAUGCAUGUCUGAUGAGCAGCCAACUUUUGUUCCAGGUAGACUUAUCAUGGAUAACAUAAUCAUUGCUUAUGAAUGUCUUCAUUUUAUGAAAAGAAAUAGGGCCAAGAGAAAUAGGUUUUGUGAACUCAAGUUGGAUAUGAUGAAAGCCUAUGAUAGAGUGGAGUGGGACUAUUUACAUGCAAUAAUGAUAAAGCUCGGCUUCACAAUGAGGUGGGUUAAUAUAGUCUUGAGUCUGGCGAUAUCAGUUAAGCUCUCAGUUUUAUUCAAUGGGAAGAAGCUACAAUAGUUUACACCAUCACAUGGUAUUCGACAGGGAACCCAAUUUUUCCAUAUCUAUUCUUGAUUGUAGCAGAGGGCCCUUCGUGCCUCUUAAAAUUUAUCGAUGAGUCAUCCAACCUUACUGGCAUUCGGAUGGCCCCAUUGACGCCACCGGCUAACCAUUUAUUAUAUUCACUGAUGAUAGCCUCGUGUUUUUAAAGCUAGUCUAACUGGGGCUAAUGAGGUAAACUUGUUGAAUAGGUAUUGUCGGGCUUCUGGAGAACACAUAAACAAUGAGAAAUCUUUGAUCUAUUUCAGUUUGGGCUGUCCGAAAAAGUGUGAGGUUGGAAGUUAAGAACGUACUACAAGUUCCAAAUGAGUCACUGAGUGCAAAAUAUAUAAGCCUUCUUGUUGGGAAACGUUGCAUGGAAAACAUAAAAAUUCUACGCACACACAAGAUCUAUCUAUGGAGAUGCAUAGUAACUAGAGGGAAGAGUUUUUUUACGUACCCCCGUAGACCGUAAGUGGAAGCUUUUAGUAAUGCGGUUGAUGUAGUUGAACUUGUUCGUGAUCCAACCGAUCGAGUACCGAACGUACGACACCUCCGCGUUCAGCAUACGUUCAGCUCGGUGACGUCCUCGCCUUCUUGAUCCAACAAGACGACGAAGUAGUGGAUGAGUUCCGGUAGCACGCCAGCGUGGUGAUAGAGGUGGUGAUGCUAUCUCCGCAGGGUUCGCCUAAGCAUUACGAAAAUAUGACCGAGGGACAAAACUAUGAAGAGGGACACCUCACAUAGCUAAGAGAUUGUCGUGGUUAUGUGUGGCGCCCCCUCCCACAUAUAUAUAGGUGGGGGGAAGAGGGGAGUAGCCAGGAGGCGCCCCAAGUAGUAGGGCCGAAUCCUACUUGGGCUCUUGCCUUGGCCGCCCCCCUUACCAUAUAUGCCGGAGGGGGAAAGGAAAGUGGGGAGAGGGAAGGAAGGGGGAGGCCGAAUCCCCCUCCUGCCUUUCUCCCAUAGGCCGGCUGCCAUAGGGGGGUGCACCAGCCCCUUGUGGGCUGGUGUGCUCCCCUCUAAUGGCCCAAUAGGCCCAUCAUCCUCCCGGGGGUGCCCGGAACCCCUUCCGAUGAUCCGAUGACUACCCGGUGCACUACGAAACUCUUUCGGUGUCUGAAUAUCAUCGUCUUAUAUAUCAAUAUUUACCUCCGGACCAUUCCGGAGCUCCUCGUCAUGUCUGUGAUCUCAUCUGGGACUUCGAACAAUAUUUGGUCACCAAAUCAUAUACUCCCUCCGUUCACUUUUGUAAGUCGUUUCAGACAACCCAAAAUAGGCUGUUUUGCACAUUGUCUGAAAUCUCUUCAAGGUCUUAUAAAAGUGAACAGAGGGAGUAACUCAUAUAACACCAUAUCGUCAAUGAACGUUAAGCAUGCGGAUCCUACGGGUUCGAGAACUAUGUAGACAUGACCGAGACACCUCUCCGGUUAAUAACCAACAGCGGAACCUAAACGCCCAUUUUGGCUCCUACAUAUUCCAUGAAGAGCUUUAUCGGUCGAACCUUAUGACAACAUACGUAAUUCCCUUUGUCCGUCGGUAUGUUACUUGCCCGAGAUUCGAUCGUCGGUAUCUUCAUACCUAGUUCAAUCUCGUUACCGGCAAGUCUCUUUACUUGUUCGGUAAUACAUCAUCUCGUAACUAACUCCUUAGUCACUUUGCUUGCAAGCUUCUUGUGAUGUGUAUUACCGAGUGGGCCUAGAGAUACCUCUCUGAUAUAUGGAGUGACAAAUCCUAAUCUCGAUCUAUGCCAACUCAACAAACACCUUCGGAGAUACCUGUAGAGCAUCUUUAUGAUCACCCACUUACGUUUGUGAUGUUUGAUAGCACACAAGGCAUUCCUCCGGUAUCCAGAAGUUGCAUAAUCUCAUAGUCUAAGGAAUAUGUAUUUGACAUUAAGAAAGCAAUAACAAUAAACUGAAUGAUCAAAUGCUAAGCUAACGGAUGGGUCUUGUCCAUCACAUCAUUCUCCUAAUGAUGUGAUCCUGUUACCAAGUGACAACACAUGUCUAUGGUUAGGAAACCUUAACCAUCUUUGAUCAACGAGUUAGUCUAGUAGAGGCUCACUAGGGACACGGUAUUUGUUUAUAUAUCCACACAUGUAUCUAAGUUUCCAAUCAAUACAAUUAUAGCAUAAAUAAUAAUCUUUUAUCAUGAAUAAGGAAAUAUAAAAUAACAACUUUAUUAUUACCUCUAGGGCAUAUUUCCUUCACUUCCAUCAUGUGGGGUCAUCAAAGAACGGUUCAUUUAAGUACCUGAUAUGUCUCCAAUGUAUCUAUAAUUUUUGAUUGUUUCAUGCUAUUAUAUUAUCAAUCUUGGAUGCUUUAUAUGCAAUUUUAUAUCAGUUUUAGGAACUAACCUAUUAAUUCAGUUCCCAGUGCCAGUUCCUAUCUUCUGCAUGUUUUUAGUUUUUUUAGAAAAUCAAUACCAAACAAAGUCUAGAUACGAUGAAACUUUACGGUGAUUUGUUCUGGACCAUAUGGGACCCUAGAAGCUUCGGGAGGAGGCCAGAAGAUCUACGGGAGAGCCACAAGCUCACACGACGCGCCCCGAGGGGGGGCACCAUCUGAGCUUGUGGGUCCCACGUAGCUCCGUUUGACUUAAUGACAAGGCUAUAAAUUACAUAAAUCCCAAAACCAAAAUAGAGCCGUCCGAAACAAUUUUUUCACCGCCGCAAGUUUCUGUUCUUCCGCGAUCCCAUCUGAAGGCAUUUUUUGAUACUCUGCCGGAGGGGGAAUCAUUCACGGAGGGCUUUUAUAUCAACUUUUCUGCACCACUAAUGAUGUGUGAGUAGAUACCUACGGGUGCAUAGUGAUUAGCUAGAUGGUUUCUUCUCUCUCUUUGAUUUUCAAUUACAAUGUUCUUUUUGGAGAUCGAUCCGACGUAAUCUUCUUGCGGUGUGUUUGUUGGGAUCCGAUGAAUUGUGGGUUUAUGAUUGUAAUAUUCAUUAAAAGUAAUUGAGUUUUUUCUGAACUUUAUUAUGGAUGAUUAUUAUAUCUUUAUAUUUCUCUCUGAUCUACCCAUUUGGUUUGGCCAACUAGGCUGAUUUGUCGUCGAUGGGAGAGGUGCUUUAUAGUGGGUUCAAUCUUGCGGUGUCCUCGCCAGUGAGUAGGGGUAUCGAGGCACGUAUUUGUAUUGUUGCCACUAAGGGUAAAACAAUGGAUUUAAUCAUAUUGCUUGGUUUUAUUCUAUCUACAUUAUAUCAUCUUUCUUAAAGCAUUACUCUAUUUAUUAUGAACUUAAUACAAUAGAUGCAUGCUGGACAACGGUCGAAUGGUGGAGUGAUAGUAGUAGAUGUAGAAUCGUUUCAGCCUACUUGUCAUGGACAUAAUGCCUAUAUAUAUGAUCAUUGCCAUAAAUAUCAUCAUAACUAUGACCUUUUCUAUUAAUUGCCCAAUUGUAAUUUGUCUACCCACCAUAUACUAUUUUUCUAAGAGAGAAGCCUCUAGUGUAAACUAUGGCCCCCGAGUCUACUUAAAUCAUAUUGCAAAAAAACCUAGUUUUACUCUUUUUAUUUUACUUUGCAGUUUACUUAUCUGUCGUUAUCAGAUUUGAUCCUUGCAAGUAACGAGUUCAAGGGGAUUGACAGACAACCCUCUUGCCCGCAUUGGAUGCAAGUAUUUGCUCUUGUGUGUGUAGAUAAUGUUCACUAGGAAUUUGCAUGGUUCUCCUAUUGAUUCAAUAACCCUGGUUCUCAUUGAUGGAAAUACUAUCUACUACUAUAUUGCUUCAUCUUCCUCUUCGGAGAAAAUCCCAACGCAGCUCACAAGUAGCAGUACCUUAAGGACUACCUAUGGAGUAAAGUGCAAGGGUGAAUUGAACAAACUAUGACAUUGGCAGGUGAAGUGGUCUUGGUAAAGGCGGUUGCCUUGCAGCACCUGUGUAUUCUAUGUCAUGUUUGAAGCUUCCGUGAGGUUUGUGUGAACAUCUUAAAAUGUUGAUAAGGAAGUUUUGGUGGGGAAGUAAGGAUGGAAAACAAAAACCUAAUUGGGUUUCUUGCGAAGCCAUGACCCAACCCAAGAGUAUGGGAGGAUUGGGCUUUAAAGAUUUUGGGUUGUUUAACUUGGCCUUACUAGCUAAGCAGGCAUGGAGAACUUACGAAAUCCUCAAUCUCUAAGUGCUAGAAUCUUGAAAGGGGUUUACUUUCCAAAUGGAACCAUCCUGAGUGCCGAUCCUAGGAGCCAUCCUAGCCAAAUAUGGCGAGCUAUCAUUGGAGGCUGUGACAUAUUAAAGUUGGGUCUCAUUAGGCGGAUUGGCGGCGGAGAAUCAACUAACAUAUGGGUAGAUGCUUGGAUACCUACAGAUGUUAUGACGAGGCCUUAUGGGAGGCGUGUCAACAACAAUUUUGGGAAAGUAUCCGAACUCAUAGAUCAAACUUCGACCACAUGGAAUAUGGCAAUGUUGGAGGAGGUCUGCCUCCCAAUUGAUAUACCAUGUAUCUUGAGUAUCCUACUCUGUACUUCUGAUAUGGUGGACUCUUGGGCAUGGAAUUUUAAGAAAUGGAACCUACUCGGUAAGAUCAACAUAUCAUAUGAUGGUACAAACUGAAUUAAGAAGGGGAGCCUGGACUGAUGGCAAAACAGAUUCUUCUAGUACAUAAUAUGAUGAAGAGUCUUGGAAACUUCUAUGGAACACUCCGAUUCCUAGAAAGAUUCGGAUGGUCUUAUGGCGUCUCGCUAAACACUCGCUCCCAAUAGAGGACAUUAGAGAGAUUAGGAAUAUGUCAUCAUCAAGUUUGGGUGGCCUGCGUGGAGCCGAAGACUCUUGGCGUCAUUCACUACUUGCAUGCUCAAUGGCAAGAUGUUUGUGGGCCCUGUUGGAUGGAGAACUCGCAGAACAUCUUUGCGAGACUACCGAACCGAGUGCCAAGUAAUGGAUCUUUUUGAUGAUAGACACGUUAUUGCAUGCGACAUUUGUUAAGCUAGUUGUAACACUGUGGGCAAUAUAGUGAGCCAGAAGGAAAGCAAUCCAUGAGGAGUUGUUCCAAAGCCCUCCAGCCACACACCAAUUCAUUACCAGGUUAAUCCUAGAGCUUGAACUUAUGCCAAAGAAAAUUCGCAGUGCCCGAAUCGGCAGGCAAGUCGAACUACCCGACCAAAAGCUCCUCCACCCAGUUACUCAAAGAUCCAUGUUGAUGCUUGUUGAGGAGAGGAGAAGGAAUGGGAUUCAACACACUUCGAUUAUGCUCAGAGGCUGGGUUUAAGUAUAGGUUGCUGUUCUCAGCUGAGCCAAGAUCGUGGGUAUGCCACUACCUCAGGACGUGCACCACUAGCUAUACAACUGCUGCACGAUCCGUACUAUACCGUAUGGUAAACUAUACAAGGUGCAUACGGUAUAUAACUACCUAGUCUAACACCCCUCGCAGUCGUGACGUCGGUACCAGCGACGCAAAGACUGGACCGGAAUUCAGAG